CACGAGCAUACUCUCACACUCACACAGCUGCACAACCCUCAAGCAGUAGUGGCACGGCGGGCUGAGAUAACCAUGGGGUCGACGGGGGAGUACCAGCCUCUGCUGCUCGGACUUGACUCACAUUCCCAGAUACCUGGCUUGUCGUCCGCUGCCGUCGAAGAUUUUCUGGAGCACCGGCCUGUGGCCGCCCGAUGGUGGCCUAGACUGGUGGCAUGGGAGUCAAGGCUGCUCUGGAUUUUAUCUGGUUCAUCUAUCAUUGUCUCCAUAUUUAAUUUUAUGCUCAGCUUUGUCACCCUCAUGUUUUGUGGCCAUUUGAGUGCCUUGGAGCUGGCUGGAGCCUCUAUUGCUAAUGUGGGAAUUCAAGGUCUUGCUUAUGGGAUUAUGGUAAGUAUCCCAAACUAAUGUACCAGAUAAUUCAUUUACCAAAAUUUCAUCUUUAUGUUUGUUUUUCACUAUUUGUGGUUGAUUUAACUUUUUUUUUUCUUUCUUGCUUUUGAAUCAAAAGUUGGGAAUGGCUAGUGCUGUGCAAACUGUGUGUGGGCAAGCAUUUGGAGCCAGAAAAUUGCGAGAAAUGGGCAUCAUAUGCCAAAGAGCAAUCAUCUUGCACUUGGGAGCAGCAGUCCUCCUUACAUUUCUGUAUUGGUGGUCAGGUCCAAUACUUAGAGCCAUAGGCCAGGCAGAAGACAUAGCAUUGGAGGGCCAAGUGUUUGCAAGGGGCCUAAUUCCUCAACUUUAUGCAUUUGCAAUAAACUGCCCCCAACAGAGGUUCCUUCAAGCACAAAACAUUGUGAACCCUUUGGCCUAUAUGUCUUUUGGGGUUUUCCUCAUCCACAUUCUUCUCACUUGGUUGGUGGUUUAUGUUGUGGAAUAUGGCCUACUGGGGGCUGCUCUUACUCUCAGCCUCUCUUGGUGGCUUCUUGUCAUUACAUAUGGACUUUACAUUAUUCUAAGCCCCAAGUGCAAGGAAACUUGGACUGGCUUCUCUUGGAAUGCCUUCAAAGGAAUUUGGCCUUAUUUUAAGUUGACUCUUUCCUCUGCUGUCAUGCUCUGGUAACUGUCAAAUUUUAAUCCCUUUCUCCCCUUUUUUUUUUUUUUUAAUGCACAGCUCAUUUGCAAACACUUUUUUUUACCUUUUGCUAGUGGGAUAUAGCUCAAUUGGUUGAGCUCUUUCACCUCCACCCAUGUGUUUAGAAGUUCGAAAAUCUCAAACACCCAAUGAAUACUUGUGUAAACCCCCCUCCCCCAAUUGUUCGUACUCAAAAAAACACUUGUUUUUACCUUUCAAAUAACUCUUGGGUUUGCUCAUGCAUUAAUGUAGCUUGGAGAUAUGGUACAGCCAGGGGCUGGUGCUGAUAUCUGGGCUUCUCUCCAAUCCUACAGUUGCUCUAGACUCCAUUUCUAUUUGGUAUGUCUAGUGUUAAAGCAUUCCAUUUAAGCUUUUCCCUUUAUCAGUCAAUUUAUUUAACUCACAUUGUUCGUCUAACUUUACAUUUUCUGAUGUGAUAUAAUUCCAGCAUGAACUACUUGAACUGGGACUUGCAAUUUAUGUUAGGCCUAAGUGCAGGAGCCAGGUUUGUGACAAAUAAAAUGCACUUAAGAAUGUUUAUUUCUUAAUCGCGAAUUAGAAUUUACUUUAUUGAUAACGAGACGUCGGUUAUGCAGUGUUCGAGUCAGUAAUGAGCUAGGUGCUGGUAAUGCAAAGGUGGCCAAAUUUUCUGUGUUUGUUGUGAACGGGACCAGCAUACUGAUUAGCAUAGUCUUCAGUGCAAUUGUAUUGAUUUUUAAAGUUGGAUUAAGCAAGCUUUUUACGAGUGAUUCCGUAGUUAUCGCAGCAGUAUCUGAUUUAACCCCGUUGCUGGCCAUCUCUGUUUUCUUGAAUGGCAUUCAACCUAUACUCUCAGGUACUGAUGUGUGACAAAAGGAGUACAUGAACAAACCAGGUCUGCAGGCAUUGUGAGGCAUCAUUUCUAAUUUAACUCUCUGGAAUUUCAGGGGUGGCAAUUGGAAGUGGAUGGCAAGCUAUUGUGGCCUAUGUUAACCUGACUUGCUACUACGUUAUCGGUCUUCCGAUCGGAUGUGUUCUUGGCUUCAAAACCAACAUGGGAGUAGCAGUAAGUUCAAUCUCUCCUUACUCUUGUGCCAGUAAAGCUAUUUCUUUGUGAGUGAUAGAACAUGAUGCAUUCUUUUUAUCUCUUUCAGGGUAUUUGGUGGGGGAUGAUUAUUGGAGUUUUUCUACAAACAGUAACUCUAAUUAUUCUCACCGCCAGAACAAAUUGGGAUGCUGAGGUAAUUUAAAUUUUGAUUGAAGUAUUAUCUUGUCUUGGCAUAUAUAGUCAACAUGGACUGCAUUUUAUCAACGUAUCACUAAUCACCAUGCUUUUGUAGGUCCAAAAAGCAGCUGAUCGAUUGAAGAAAGCUGCAGAAAUACAAGACUCGCUGACCGAUGUAUAAGGCCAUGGAGGUUUUCAAAACUUGAUUUCACCUGCGGUUCACGUAUGAAUUCCUGUGUUUUGACAUAGCUUGGUCAACGAGAUUUAGACUAGAAGUUUUUAUCUUCUUCCCCUGUAUUGUAUACAACCAAUCAGAUUGUUGCCAACUUUGAUGAUAUAAGGGAAAGAAAACCAUCCUAUUUGUUUCACAGAAUCGAACAGUAAUAGUUUCAGCUUUGAUGAAUAUGUCACAUUCAGAACUAUACUACCUUGCUUUUGCUGAAAGAAAAUGAGUAACCUACACCAGACAUAGUUGAGAAGAAGCUGACACAGUUGAAUCUUGAAUCACAAAACUAUGAAUUCCAAAAAUUUAUAUAUGCUAAAGCUAAAAUUGCCCUCAUUUUACUGUUGUUUCUCGUUUUGAUUUGGUCUUUAUCUCAUCGGUUUUCCAUGGAACGCGCCAUCUCCUCCUUCUGCUCUUCACGUUCCCAAAUCCGAAUUCUGUACCGGCCUUUGCAGAUUCCGACGCCCUGAGUGAAAUCGGCGCCGACAACUGAGGUAUGCCUGCUAAAAGUCAGUUUCUGCGUUUUUUGUUUUGAUUCAUUUGGGCUGAAGUAUUGUAGGAUUAUCUCAGCCUUUGAUUGUUGCUUUUGAUUGGCCUGUAUGAUUUUGCUUUUGGAUUUGGAUUGUUUGGAGGAUUUUUGUCAUAUUUAAUAAUGAUGUUCCUGUUUAUGGAUCCCUUUGUAGGAAUGUGGUUUAUGAUUAAAAAAUUGGGGGUCCAAACAAGGAAUCGAUUUUUAAUACCUGAGCUUGAUCAACAACAAGAAAAUAUGUUAACCCUGAAAUUGGUUCAUAGACAGAAAUAGGCUCUCCAAGUUAACUAAAUUUCCAAUCCCAUUUGGGAGUCUUCCUACUAAUUUAUUGUCACUUACGUAGAACCGUGCAAGAGUGCUGUGCAUUCAGGUAAGAAACCCCCAAAAUUGUUCAUAUUAAUGCCUAGGUGUCAGAUAAAGCUCAAGUCAUUAAGUCUCCUACUUCCUGGAUUGUUGGAGGUAAGAGAAAAUCUCUCAAGCUUGUGCAAAUUUGCCAAAGAUGGGACUUUACCAUGUAGGCUGUUUCCUUGCAUUCCUAGAUGACCUCGACUUGAGGCAUUAGAUAUUGAUACUGGAAUAGUUCCACUAAAUUGGUUAGAAGCAGUAUCAAAAUACUGGAGACUUGGAGAAAAAAUACAUAAGUUUGAGGGAAAAGUACCUUGGAUUUCAUUUGGUUGCAGAGAAAAAUCUUAUGAGAGAAGACAGAUUGAAGAUGGAGGGUGGAAUCAUACCAGACAGAGAAUUGCCCGCGAAUCGAAUCUCUGUUAAUUCUGUCAGCUGGCUGAAAAUAUCUGGAAUGCUCCCAUUCAAAUAAUUAGAAGAUGCAGAAAGCACCUCAAGAGUCGAUAAGUUACAGGGCAAAUGUCCUGUAACAGGUUGUAAAUCUUAAGGAAGCACGGGAGUUCUCCAGUGACAAAAAGUUCACUUAUUUGUUCAAAGUAAUGUGCUAAUCUUUGUGCAUCAGAUCAGAUCACUAUUUCCUUCUAUCUCUAAUUUCCCUUUGUGGGGUUGGGGUGAGGGGCUUUGUGUUACUGCAUCUUCCUUGACUUUGUGACCAUGACCAGAUCACAGUGCAAAGGACUGAAUUGAACAGUCCACUUGGCCUUGAGCUUGAGGUUCAGUUACAUAUAUUUGUUUCACUGGUUUCUAUAAAUAUAUUGUAUAUUUAAAGCUUGGUGCUGAGACAUAAUCAUGUGGGAUAGACCUGCGUGCUCUUCUCCGCUCUAUGACAGGAUUGUAUGUCUGCCUGAAUGGAGGAGAUGCAUUUUCAAACACUCAGCAGGUUUGCUGUUGCCUUUACUUCAUUCUAAUACUAUUUUCUAGCUAAUCUCUUAUGAUUUCCUUUUCUUCUUCUCUGUCUUUCUGUCUCUCUGUCUCUCUCCCUCUAUACAUCUCAUGAAUUUUUUGCGCUCAGGCUGCCCUCUAUGGCCAACCAUGGUGUCGCGCAACCUAGGGAAAAGGAAGAGGGAGAGGAGACGAACCUGAUCCACGUGAUGGCGGGGCCUGAGGUGGCCGGUGCCGGCGACGGCCACGGUGGAAGUUUCAGCCGAAACUUCACGUCGUUCCAGCCCAAAAUCCUUGGGUUUUCAAGCUGCGAAAAUGACUAGGCUAGAAGGAGGACGUCGAGACGAAGAUUUUGGGACCGGUCUCGCCUGAAACGGUCGCUGGAGUUGGGAGAAUUCGCCUUCUAAAGCGGCUGGUCUGUUUGCGCGAAGAGAGAGAAAAGAGUCACUGCUGGAGGAGAGAGACAGCUGGGUAUUUAAAUUUUAACUUUGCAAAAAUUAUGAUUGCG
RNAcentral lists this long non-coding RNA (4814 nucleotides) under Prunus dulcis (almond). RNAcentral describes it as "sRNA ncRNA". Lineage: Eukaryota; Viridiplantae; Streptophyta; Magnoliopsida; Rosales; Rosaceae. The record is from RNAcentral.